Molecule: ribosomal RNA, 301 nt
Filed under: uncultured bacterium
Lineage: Bacteria
Description: partial 16S ribosomal RNA
Rfam family: Bacterial small subunit ribosomal RNA
Source: RNAcentral
CAGUCGCCACGGUAAUACGAAGGGUGCAAGCGUUACUCGGAAUUACUGGGCGUAAAGCGUGCGUAGGUGGUGGUUUAAGUCCGUUGUGAAAGCCCUGGGCUCAACCUGGGAAUUGCAGUGGAUACUGGGUCACUAGAGUGUGGUAGAGGAUAGUGGAAUUUCCGGUGUAGCGGUGAAAUGCGUAGAGAUCGGGAGGAACAUCAGUGGCGAAGGCGGCCAUCUGGGACAACACUGACGCUGAGGCACGAAAGCGUGGGGAGCAAACAGGAUUAGAUACCCGCGUAGUCCCUGUCUCUUAUAC